UGUGCCCUUGAGGCGUGGCUUCCGGAGCUAACGCGUUAAGUCGACCGCCUGGGGAGUACGGCCGCAAGGUUAAAACUCAAAUGAAUUGACGGGGGCCCGCACAAGCGGUGGAGCAUGUGGUUUAAUUCGAUGCAACGCGAAGAACCUUACCUACUCUUGACAUCCAGAGAACUUUCCAGAGAUGGAUUGGUGCCUUCGGGAACUCUGAGACAGGUGCUGCAUGGCUGUCGUCAGCUCGUGUUGUGAAAUGUUGGGUUAAGUCCCGCAACGAGCGCAACCCUUAUCCUUUGUUGCCAGCGGUCCGGCCGGGAACUCAAAGGAGACUGCCAGUGAUAAACUGGAGGAAGGUGGGGAUGACGUCAAGUCAUCAUGGCCCUUACGAGUAGGGCUACACACGUGCUACAAUGGCGCAUACAAAGAGAAGCGACCUCGCGAGAGCAAGCGGACCUCAUAAAGUGCGUCGUAGUCCGGAUUGGAGUCUGCAACUCGACUCCAUGAAGUCGGAAUCGCUAGUAAUCGUGGAUCAGAAUGCCACGGUGAAUACGUUCCCGGGCCUUGUACACACCGCCCGUCACACCAUGGGAGUGGGUUGCAAAAGAAGUAGGUAGCUUAACCUUCGGGAGGGCGCUUACCACUUUGUGAUUCAUGACUGGGGUGAAGUCGUAC
This 666-nucleotide ribosomal RNA is filed under the name Enterobacter sp. Its description in RNAcentral is "bacterial SSU rRNA". It matches the Rfam family "Bacterial small subunit ribosomal RNA", at positions 825 to 1491 of the family's 1533-position model. Lineage: Bacteria; Pseudomonadati; Pseudomonadota; Gammaproteobacteria; Enterobacterales; Enterobacteriaceae. The record is from RNAcentral.